This 497-nucleotide ribosomal RNA is filed under the name uncultured bacterium. Its description in RNAcentral is "partial 16S ribosomal RNA". It matches the Rfam family "Bacterial small subunit ribosomal RNA", at positions 28 to 507 of the family's 1533-position model. The record is from RNAcentral.
GAUGAACGCUGGCGGCGUGCCUAAUACAUGCAAGUCGAGCGAACAGACGAGGAGCUUGCUCCUCUGACGUUAGCGGCGGACGGGUGAGUAACACGUGGAUAACCUAUCUAUAAGACUGGGAUAACUUCGGGAAACCGGAGCUAAUACCGGAUAAUAUAUUGAACCGCAUGGUUCAAUAGUGAAAGACGGUUUUGCUGUCACUUAUAGAUGGAUCCGCGCCGCAUUAGCUAGUUGGUAAGGUAACGGCUUACCAAGGCGACGAUGCGUAGCCGACCUGAGAGUGUGAUCGGCCACACUGGGACUUGCACCCGGUCCAGGCUCCUACGGGAGGCAGCAGUAGGGAAUCUUCCGCGAUGGGCGAAAGCCUGACGGGGCAACGCCGCGUGAGUGAUGAAGGUCUUCGGAUCGUAAAACUCUGUUAUUAGGGAAGACCAAAUGUGUAAGUAACUAUGCACGUCUUGACGGUACCUGAUCAGACAGCCACGGCUACCUACGUG